Molecule: long non-coding RNA, 276 nt
Organism: Empidonax traillii (willow flycatcher)
Lineage: Eukaryota; Metazoa; Chordata; Aves; Passeriformes; Tyrannidae
Exons: 3
Source: RefSeq, a predicted model, not a curated record
GUGUGCCUGGUCCUAAACCCUCCCUUAGAAUAUGCAUUAAGCUCCAGCCAGGACUGCCUUGCCAGGUUGUCCAUCUUUGCUGGAGGACCUUAGGCCUGGCCUGUCUAGAAUUGGUGGGGAAGAGAAGGAAAGAUCAUGAUUGCUACUUAGAGAUGCCUCACCUCAAACUAAAGCUGCUAAUAUAACUUGACAGAAAAGCUACAAACUGCUAGGGAGGCCGCAAGUUCGGCAGGGAGGAAUCAAGGAGAAGCAGUUAACAUUGCUACUAAUUUAGGC